Molecule: transfer RNA, 82 nt
Filed under: Helianthus annuus (common sunflower)
Lineage: Eukaryota; Viridiplantae; Streptophyta; Magnoliopsida; Asterales; Asteraceae
Description: tRNA-Val
Rfam family: tRNA (bases 5-77)
About the family: Transfer RNA (tRNA) molecules are approximately 80 nucleotides in length.
Source: RNAcentral
CUCAGUUGCUGUGGUGUAGUGGUUAUCACGUUUGCUUUACACGCAAAAGGUCUCCGGUUCGAUCCCGGGCAGCAACAUCGUA